GACGAACGCUGGCGGCGUGCCUAAUACAUGCAAGUCGAGCGGACCGAACGAGGGCUUGCUCUUGUUUGGUCAGCGGCGGACGGGUGAGUAACACGUGGGCAACCUGCCCGCAAGACCGGGAUAACUCCGGGAAACCGGAGCUAAUACCGGAUAACACCGAAGACCGCAUGGUCUUCGGUUGAAAGGCGGCCUUUGGGCUGUCACUUGCGGAUGGGCCCGCGGCGCAUUAGCUAGUUGGUGAGGUAACGGCUCACCAAGGCGACGAUGCGUAGCCGGCCUGGGAGGGUGACCGGGCAGACUGGGACUGAGACACGGCCCAGACUCCUACGGGAGGCAGCAGUAGGGAAUCUUCCGCAAUGGGCGAAAGCCUGACGGAGCGACGCCGCGUGAGCGAAGAAGGCCUUCGGGUCGUAAAGCUCUGUUGUGAGGGACGAAGGAGCGCCGUUCGAAGAGGGCGGCGCGGUGACGGUACCUCACGAGAAAGCCCCGGCUAACUACGUGCCAGCCGCCGCAGUAA
RNAcentral lists this ribosomal RNA (517 nucleotides) under uncultured bacterium. RNAcentral's name for it is "partial 16S ribosomal RNA". It matches the Rfam family "Bacterial small subunit ribosomal RNA", at positions 28 to 523 of the family's 1533-position model. The record is from RNAcentral.